RNAcentral lists this ribosomal RNA (252 nucleotides) under uncultured bacterium. Its description in RNAcentral is "partial 16S ribosomal RNA". It matches the Rfam family "Bacterial small subunit ribosomal RNA", at positions 524 to 776 of the family's 1533-position model. The record is from RNAcentral.
UACGUAGGGGGCAAGCGUUGUCCGGAAUUAUUGGGCGUAAAGCGCGCGCAGGCGGCUUUGUAAGCCUAGUGUUUAAGUUCGGGGCUCAACCCCGUAUCGCACUGGGAACUGCAAGGCUUGAGUGCAGAAGAGGAAAGUGGAAUUCCACGUGUAGCGGUGAAAUGCGUAGAGAUGUGGAGGAACACCAGUGGCGAAGGCGACUUUCUGGGCUGUAACUGAUGAUGAGGCGCGAAAGAGUGGGGAGCAAACAGG